Molecule: long non-coding RNA, 1508 nt
Filed under: Anser cygnoides (Swan goose)
Lineage: Eukaryota; Metazoa; Chordata; Aves; Anseriformes; Anatidae
Description: lncRNA (ENSACDG00005019184.1)
Source: RNAcentral
CGUGGGGGGGGGGGGCAGGGAGGGGGCGGCGCCAUCUUGGGGAGGUCGCCGCGCGCCUCAGGGAGGCGGGCGGGAAAGCCCUGAGGGGGAGCCGGGGUAUGGCUGCCCGCGGUGAGGCGGCCCCGGCCAUCCCCGUGGCGUUUUGCUGUCAAAAAACAAAAAAGCACGUUUCGCAACGUUUUGGCCCGCCGCUCGGGCGUCCCUUCCCACCUCCACCACCCCCAAACCCUAGUUCGGUGGUAGGAGAAGCCAUAUUGCUGAGCUAAUCCGGGUUUAAAAAUAACGCAAAAUAACACGAAGCUGCUCUUUCUGAUACAUGAGGUCUAACAUUUUCUUGUAUUGUCACAUCAGGGCUCAGAGACCUGUACUGGGACCGCGGCCCUGUCACAGGAAGGUGUCCGCGUUCGAGGGCAGCCUGUGGUUUCAGUGGGAACCUGAAGUGAGGGAGUCUUAAGGAGGGGCUUCACACUGAUGCACCGAAACCGACAAAUUGAAGAUGUGUUCUCCUCAACUAAAGAAUGGCGUGGAAAGUGCAGCGUGGACGGGUGCUCAAGAGAAAAGACGUCAGCCUACCAUCUGUGCCUAGUAGAAACCUCUUCCAUGGGGCAGGAAGUUAUGACCGCACUACGACCAUCUGAAGAUGCAAGAAUAUGGAAAGCACAGGACGAAAACCUCUCAGAGACGUGCCUCGUCUGCAGAGCCAGCCGAGGCAAUUGGCAUGCGUGUCAGGUGCUGCGGUGGGGUCAAUGCACAAAUACGAGCCCAAGGUCAGCCUCCAGUGAAGACCAGCUCAAUCGACAUUACUCCCAUCAGCUGAGCCCCUGUGGGGAGGAGAAAGACAAUUUCUUCAAGAAGUGUUUUGGAGAGACAGGUGUAGCUUUAGGACUUGCUGAACACACCAACGUGCUUGUUUCAUGACAGCAGACAUUACAAGGAACAAGAGCCUGUUAUCUCACUGGGUUUAUACAGGAAGGUUGGUCUCUGGCGUGCUGGAGAUGAAGGAGCUGCACGUGGUUGUGUAGCGGAAGACGUGCUCCUGGCAGCAGCUCUGUUCUGUUUCCUACAAAAUGUCCUAGCUGCCUCAGAGUUAAAAAAUCUGCUGCUGCCUGCUGGCACUUCCUAGCUGCCUGUGCUUGCAAGCGGUAUGAGGAGGAAACCCAGCCACUGUGCAUCUUGUAUCAUCAGGAGAGAAAAAGCGAGAUCCGUCUUUUUUCUUGCCCGUGGAGUUUUCAUGCCUCUUAAGCCCACAGAAGAGAAAAGCAAUUGAUUCACCCACUGUGCUGUCAACAAACACCCUGAUGAUUUAGCGGUUUUGUAACUGAGCAGUUUUUAAACAUUCACAGUGCAGACUGAGGAGGAAAACUACAGACACAGCUGCGUGGCUUUUUCCUUUUCUCUCUUUUUCAGAUUAAAAAAAAAAAAUGAUGCAGCCAUUGCUUUCCUUUAAUAUGAGUCUUUGCAACAGUGAUUGUUCAGUAAUGUGCAAUAAAACAGAUUUGCACAGCUCA